RNAcentral lists this long non-coding RNA (215 nucleotides) under Elaeis guineensis (African oil palm). RNAcentral's name for it is "long non-coding RNA (EGUI_LNC024970)". Lineage: Eukaryota; Viridiplantae; Streptophyta; Magnoliopsida; Arecales; Arecaceae. The record is from RNAcentral.
GCCGACGCAGACAUAGCAAGGGUGGAGGCGGAGUCGGCAAAAGAAGCCAUGGGUCGGGCCAUGGAGGACUUCCGCGACUCCGAGGAGUACCGGGAGGAACUUCUGGAAAGCAGUUUCCUCUCAUAUCGAGUGGGGUACGAGGACACUUGGAAAGCCGUCCGGUUCUUGUAUCUGGAGCUCGACCUCAGUAGCAUCAUCCCGCCAGAGUCGGAGGC